AACUAAAGGAAUUGACGGGGGCCCGCACAAGCGGUGGAGCAUGUGGUUUAAUUCGAUGAUACGCGAGGAACCUUACCUGGGCUCAAAUGUAUGUUGACGUAUUCUGAAAGGGAUACUUCUUCGGACAAUAUACAAGGUGCUGCAUGGUUGUCGUCAGCUCGUGCCGUGAGGUGUCGGGUUAAGUCCCAUAACGAGCGCAACCCCUACCUUUAGUUGCCAUCAGGUAAUGCUGGGGACUCUAAAGGAACUGCCUACGCAAGUAGUGAGGAAGGCGGGGAUGACGUCAAAUCAGCACGGCCCUUACGUCCAGGGCUACACACGUGCUACAAUGGCCGAUACAGAGGGCAGCUACCUGGUGACAGGAUGCAAAUCUCCAAAGUCGGUCUCAGUUCGGAUCGGAGUCUGCAACCCGACUCCGUGAAGUUGGAUUCGCUAGUAAUCGCGCAUCAGCCAUGGCGCGGUGAAUACGUUCCCGGGCCUU
This 481-nucleotide ribosomal RNA is filed under the name uncultured Sphingobacteriales bacterium. RNAcentral describes it as "bacterial SSU rRNA". It matches the Rfam family "Bacterial small subunit ribosomal RNA", at positions 903 to 1382 of the family's 1533-position model. Lineage: Bacteria; Pseudomonadati; Bacteroidota; Sphingobacteriia; Sphingobacteriales. The record is from RNAcentral.